This 366-nucleotide ribosomal RNA is filed under the name uncultured bacterium. RNAcentral's name for it is "bacterial SSU rRNA". It matches the Rfam family "Bacterial small subunit ribosomal RNA", at positions 142 to 507 of the family's 1533-position model. The record is from RNAcentral.
AAUAACGUCGAAGAAAUCGGCGCUAAUACCUCAUAAUGCAGCGGAUCCGCAUGGAUAUGGUUGUUAAAGGUUUACCGCCUUGGGAUAGGCUUGCGUCUGAUUAGCUAGUUGGUGUGGUAAUGGCACACCAAGGCUACGAUCAGUAACUGGUCUGAGAGGAUGAUCAGUCACACUGGAACUGAGACACGGUCCAGACUCCUACGGGAGGCAGCAGUGAGGAAUAUUGGGCAAUGCACGAAAGUGUGACCCAGCAACGCCGCGUGGAGGAUGAAGGUAUUCUAUAUCGUAAACUCCUGUGAGAGCAGACGAAAGACAGAUUAUUAAUUUGGAUGACUGUAUGCUCAGAGGAGCCCGGCUAACUACGUG